RNAcentral lists this non-coding RNA (28 nucleotides) under Rattus norvegicus (Norway rat). Lineage: Eukaryota; Metazoa; Chordata; Mammalia; Rodentia; Muridae. The record is from RNAcentral.
UGCCUGAGAUCGACAGACCCGAAAGCAA